Molecule: long non-coding RNA, 298 nt
Filed under: Zostera marina
Lineage: Eukaryota; Viridiplantae; Streptophyta; Magnoliopsida; Alismatales; Zosteraceae
Description: long non-coding RNA (ZMAR_LNC005218)
Source: RNAcentral
UGGGACAGGCAAACAUGCCAAUUGUCAAAACUCAGUAUGACAAAUCUUCUUGAUCUUGAAAAUCCAAACAUUCUCGACUUUGGUGAAAGAACUUCCAAACUCAUGCCUGCACAGCAACCUCGGUAUUGAAGAUUCAGCCACCAUACUCAACACAUCACAACAAGGUCAAUCAGUCACUCACCCUACAACCACCAUAUCUGAUAUAUGAGUUGAACAGCAACGACAACAUCCUGCAAGUAGCUCGGGCAAAAGCAAAUCUUGCACCUGCUCUACAUACAUCAAACAUCAUCUGCAAGAG